GCUUUUAUAGCUUAGUGGUAAAGCGAUAAAUUGAAGAUUUAUUUACAUGUAGUUCGAUUCUCAUUAAGGGCACCAA
RNAcentral lists this transfer RNA (76 nucleotides) under Saccharomyces cerevisiae (brewer's yeast). Its description in RNAcentral is "tRNA-Phe". It matches the Rfam family "tRNA". From Rfam's summary of the family: Transfer RNA (tRNA) molecules are approximately 80 nucleotides in length. Their secondary structure includes four short double-helical elements and three loops (D, anti-codon, and T loops). The record is from RNAcentral. Lineage: Eukaryota; Fungi; Ascomycota; Saccharomycetes; Saccharomycetales; Saccharomycetaceae.